UUCAGGUUCAACACGACAGAAAGAUCGAAAGCAAUAUGUUCUGAGUUCUGGGUUGGAGUUGGGAGCUGGGAAAAUAGGACAGAAAUCAAAAUUUAAGAAGAGAAGGUUUGGGAGUUUGGGAUAUAGGACGAGAGAGGUAUACGAGUAAAAACUAAGGAAUGAGAAUCUGUACCAUGAUCAAACCAUCAACCCUGGUUUAGGUUACGCUUGUUGCCCUCGUUGACUCUGUCUCUUAAACCCUGAUUCCGACAAAGCUGAAUGGGCAUUUACUUCAGUUUUACAUGAUGCUACUGUAGUGUUAUGAUGAGACGUCGUGCAAAAAGUACUCUUAAUCGAAGUGGUUAUAGAGUAAGAUCCAUGAGAGCUGAUUUACAUAUCGAGUCAUCAUCAAACCGAUAUAGCAUAAUCCACCAUAUGGGUCAACGUCAGCACAGAUGCAGUAUGAUCAACUAUAUUGGUCACCUCCAACAUUGAUGAUGGAUGAUCCAUCGACGGAGCAUGACGUCAAUCCAAGAUUAGCCAAUGAUCCACUAGUUGGAGAAAAAGAAGGGACAACAACUAGGCAGAGGACUAAGAGGCAAACAAAGGGUUACCAACUCCUACAAAUCCAAAGAAGUGAGUGUGGAUUACUCCGUUAGGAGAAAAGUAUUAAUUGUUUUCUUAUUGUUAUUUGUUUUUUAAUAAAUGCGUUCAAUUAAACUAAUCUUACUAACAAAUGGAUGUUGGUAGUUGUUUUGAGCAAUCAUUAGUUAACUCAACAAUUUUAGGAAUAAUUCAAGCGAAUUAUACUGAUUCUUGGCCAACAUGAGGAAAAAUAUCAGUGGGUUGAGUCGGAUGAUGAUCUUGUUCAAUGAACAUGGAACAAUAUUUCAAAAAAUAGAUUGAAAGACUUAUUGUUUGAUGAGAGAGAAUUGACAAUAAAAGAGCGUGGAGUUGAUAACAUCAUAGAUUGCAGAUGUAUGAAACAGAGAUGGAUCACAGCUCCGAUUUGGGAUACUCUUAUUAAGAAUGUAUGGAGCAUUCCCAAAUGACAAAACAUCUCCGCCGAAGCCAAACAAAAUGUGGAACACAAAAAGAAAGAAUUAUUACGAAGCACACUGGUGGAUCAGUUGCUUUUCCUGUUCAUAAAAAAAGAAUGUCACUUGAGUUGCAACGAGAACCCACCUUUACAGAACUUUUCAAUCGCGUUCACAGACGUUCAGGAGGAUGUAGUGAUUUUGUUGAUAAUAAGUCUAGAGUUGUUAGUUUAUAUGACUAUCCGAUGACUGGAUAAUUUAAAAUUGCUGCCUUUAUUGAAAUUGAUAAUAUCUUGUAUGUUUUUGUGAUGCUAAGACUUUGUGAGAAGUGAAAAUUAUUGCGUAAUUUACUUUGUGAUUGUGGUUGUGUAUUGUGAUUGUUGCUUAAAUAUCUUUAUAGUGUAUUGCGAUUAGAUGAUAUUUGUGAAAUGUAAAAAUUUUUGCGUAUUUUGAAAUAUGACGACGGUUGUGUACUAUGAUUGUUGAUCAACUAUCUUUAUCGUAUAUUAGUAUUUUACACUAGUCUGAUGGUUGUUUAUUGUGAUUAUCGAUGAACUAUGUUAAUAGUGUAUUAUGAUGACUAGUUAUUUGUAAAAGGUUUUUACGUAUCUAGAUAAGAUCAUAUUUUUGAAAGGUGAAAAUUAUUGUGUAUUUUCAUUUGUAAUUUUGUUUGUGUAUUGUGAUUCUUGAUGAAGUAUAUAGUGAAGUAAUUGAAGGCCAAAACAUUGUAAGAAAUCUUGUAUUUAACUAGAUAAUGUUUUAUGUAUAUUGAAAUGCAAUGACUUUGUAAAGUAUGUAACAAUCAAAUAUUGACGUUAUAAAUUGUUUGAAGUUGUGAUAUUUUAGUGAACUAUAUAGGUACUAUGGUAGUGAUUAUUGUUUUAAAAUUUUUGUAGAAAAACUAUGUUGUUGCAUUAUCUUAGAAAUACAGUGAAGACUGUUCCAAUCAUCUAGACUUUGAUCCACAAGCAUGGACUAAAGCUAUUGGAGGGGUUGAAGCUACACACACUAGUGUAUAUAGUUUUGGAUCAGCAAAUAGAUCUAGGGACCUUUUUCACUCAAUUCAGUUCAUUGCUGCAGCAGAAUCAUCUCACUUCGUUUAUGGUCCAUCACAUGUGCUUUCUCAAGCUCGUCAGCCUCAGAUAGACAAACGAAUUGAUAAGUUGAGGGCUAAGCUGAAGGCAGAGCUUAGGUUAUUCGUGGAUCAAAUGAUGCAGUUGAUGAAGUCUAGACUACCAUCACAAUUUUCCAAACUUGAUAACAACAACGAUGAUUAUGGAUUAAGAGGUGUAGUAGUAGCAUAGUGAUUUUUUUUUAUUAUUUUUUUGAUUUGAAUGAAGUAUUUGAUGAAUGUUAUUGAUGUUUUAUGGAUAGAUAUUUUAUGAUGUUUUAUGGAUGCUAUGGAUGUUCUAUGGAUCUUUGAUGAUGUAUUUGAUAGAUGCUUGAUGGAUAUUAUCUGGAUUUGAUAUUUUAAUUAAUAAUAAUAAAAUAUCUA
Durio zibethinus is the source of this 2511-nucleotide non-coding RNA. NCBI's taxonomy places the organism in Eukaryota, Viridiplantae, Streptophyta, Magnoliopsida, Malvales, Malvaceae. The record is from RefSeq and is a predicted model, not a curated record.